Molecule: ribosomal RNA, 771 nt
Filed under: uncultured bacterium
Lineage: Bacteria
Description: bacterial SSU rRNA
Rfam family: Bacterial small subunit ribosomal RNA
Source: RNAcentral
AGAGUUUGAUCAUGGCUCAGGACGAACGCUGGCGGCGUGCUUAACACAUGCAAGUCGAACGGAAAGGCCCUUCGGGGUACUCGAGUGGCGAACGGGUGAGUAACACGUGGGUGAUCUGCCCUGCACUUUGGGAUAAGCCUGGGAAACUGGGUCUAAUACCGAAUAUGACCAUGCGCCUCCUGGUGUGUGGUGGCAAGCUUUUGCGGUGUGGGAUGGGCCCGCGGCCUAUCAGCUUGUUGGUGGGGUAAUGGCCUACCAAGGCGACGACGGGUAGCCGGCCUGAGAGGGUGACCGGCCACACUGGGACUGAGAUACGGCCCAGACUCCUACGGGAGGCAGCAGUGGGGAAUAUUGCACAAUGGGCGCAAGCCUGAUACAGCGACGCCGCGUGAGGGAUGACGGCCUUCGGGUUGUAAACCUCUUUCAGCACAGACGAAGCGCAAGUGACGGUAUGUGCAGAAGAAGGACCGGCCAACUACGUGCCAGCAGCCGCGGUAAUACGUAGGGUCCGAGCGUUGUCCGGAAUUACUGGGCGUAAAGAGCUCGUAGGUGGUUUGUCGCGUUGUUCGUGAAAACUCACAGCUUAACUGUGGGCGUGCGGGCGAUACGGGCAGACUUGAGUACUGCAGGGGAGACUGGAAUUCCUGGUGUAGCGGUGGAAUGCGCAGAUAUCAGGAGGAACACCGGUGGCGAAGGCGGGUCUCUGGGCAGUAACUGACGCUGAGGAGCGAAAGCGUGGGGAGCGAACAGGAUUAGAUACCCCGGUAGUCC